This 497-nucleotide ribosomal RNA is filed under the name uncultured bacterium. RNAcentral describes it as "partial 16S ribosomal RNA". It matches the Rfam family "Bacterial small subunit ribosomal RNA", at positions 28 to 507 of the family's 1533-position model. The record is from RNAcentral.
GAUGAACGCUGGCGGCGUGCCUAAUACAUGCAAGUCGAGCGAACAGACGAUGAGCUUGCUCCUUUGACGUUAGCGGCGGACGGGUGAGUAACACGUAGGUAACCUACCUAUAAGACUGGGAUAACUUCGUGAAACCGGAUCUGAUACCGGAGAAUAUUUCGAACCGCAUGGUUCGAUAGUGAAAGAUGGCUUUGCUAUCACUUAUAGAUGGACCUGCGCCGUAUUAGCUAGUUGGUAAGGUAACGGCUUACCAAGGCAACGAUCCGUAGCCGACCUGAGAGGGUGAUCGGCCACACUGGAACUGAGACACGGUCCAGACUCCUACGGGAGGCAGCAGUAGGGAAUAUUCCGCAAUGGGCGAAAGCCUGACGGAGCAACGCCGCGUGAGUGAUGAAGGUUUUCUGAUCGUAAAACUCUGUUAUUAGGGAAGAACAAACGUGUAAGUAACUGUGCACGUCUUGACGGUACCUAAUCAGAAAGCCACGGCUAACUACGUG